RNAcentral lists this small RNA (68 nucleotides) under Limnothrix sp. P13C2. RNAcentral describes it as "Cyano-1 RNA". It matches the Rfam family "Cyano-1 RNA". The record is from Rfam by way of RNAcentral. Lineage: Bacteria; Bacillati; Cyanobacteriota; Cyanophyceae; Pseudanabaenales; Pseudanabaenaceae.
UGGUGUGUGAGGAGCGAACCAGUAAGAGUGCCGAGACGAAACACGGACAGUCGUCGGCACUCUUUCUG